AACUAAGUAAUGCUGUGUAAAGGUUGUCUUUUAUUUAGUUCUUUAGCUUGUCAAUCACCUCUCAGUGAAUAGCAAAGUAGCAAUCAGAUGAAAUAUUUUUUUUAAACAUGAAACGAGAAAAUUUUAUUAAAAUAAUGAAAAGAGACUAGUCCUUAUAAAGUUCCACUAAGGAAAAAAAAUAACAAUUCAAAUAAAGUUAAAA
This 202-nucleotide unclassified non-coding RNA is filed under the name Hevea brasiliensis (rubber tree). The record is from RNAcentral. Lineage: Eukaryota; Viridiplantae; Streptophyta; Magnoliopsida; Malpighiales; Euphorbiaceae.